Heterocephalus glaber (naked mole-rat) is the source of this 927-nucleotide long non-coding RNA. Lineage: Eukaryota; Metazoa; Chordata; Mammalia; Rodentia; Bathyergidae. The record is from Ensembl.
GUCUGUAUCCAGACCCCACAGGGGAGAUGAUGGGGCCUCUGAGCAUGUGCAGUAGGGCAGGACCUGCGUCUGGGGAGGAGCCCUUGAUUUUAAGGAGAGGGGAAUUUUCAUAUCUAUGGAAAGGAGCAAAUAAUGGCAAGCAGCUCCCUGGGAACAACUGUGCCCGGUGCGUUUCACUGUACAGAGCUCUGCCACACGGAGAUGGUUAAAGAAAGGUCAGGCCUGUGUGGGCAUUGUGUGGAUUCGAGGCCAAAUGCACUGUCUGGCACGAUGUCCUGGUCUAUUGGUUUGUGCUGCAUGAUAGCAGGACCCGGGUCCCUCUUGUUCACUCUGUCCCUGUCCCUGCAUGUGUGUGGCCCCAGGACGGAUUCAGGAGGCACCAGUGGGACACAGACUAGCAAGGGAGGCUUGGCGAAGAGACGACAGAAAAUGGAAGCCUCAGCAGGAGACAGGCGGAGCCUUAGGUCUCGGAGUCCAGAACCUGGUUUGGAUCCUGGGUCUGCUGCUUAUACGAUUCAUGACAGACAGCUCACUACCUCUGGCCACCAUGCUGCCCCCUGCGACACUGCUCAGAGAUUUUUCUAAGGCCCAGAAUGGAAGUACUGCGAUUUCAUCUCUGCUGUUCUUUGCCGUGGCCCCAGGGCCUUGAAAGUGCCUGGCACACGGUAUGUGCUCAAUGGUGUGACCCUCACGGGCGGAACCCUGGAGGAUGUCGUACAUCCCAGAAAACCCACUACACCUCCGCCUCAUAGAGAGGAAGUUGAAAACGCAUCGAUCUCUGUGACCAAGGUUAGCCAAGCAGCAGUUCGCUGUACGAAUAAAUGUCUGGAAGCUCAUGGCCACCACUCUGAGCACCUCUUGUAAUGGUAGAGGCCAAAGGUAACUUGUAUUAACCUCAUGAUGGCUCAAUAAAUUUCAUAUUAAAAC